This 77-nucleotide transfer RNA is filed under the name Thermoprotei archaeon. RNAcentral describes it as "tRNA-Phe". It matches the Rfam family "tRNA". From Rfam's summary of the family: Transfer RNA (tRNA) molecules are approximately 80 nucleotides in length. Their secondary structure includes four short double-helical elements and three loops (D, anti-codon, and T loops). Further hydrogen bonds mediate the characteristic L-shaped molecular structure. tRNAs have two regions of fundamental functional importance: the anti-codon, which is responsible for specific mRNA codon recognition, and the 3' end, to which the tRNAs corresponding amino acid is attached (by aminoacyl-tRNA synthetases). tRNAs cope with the degeneracy of the genetic code in two manners: having more than one tRNA (with a specific anti-codon) for a particular amino acid; and 'wobble' base-pairing, i.e. permitting non-standard base-pairing at the 3rd anti-codon position. Lineage: Archaea; Thermoproteati; Thermoproteota; Thermoprotei. The record is from RNAcentral.
GCCCCCGUAGCUCAGCCUGGGAGAGCAUCCGGCUGAAGACCGGAGGGUCCCGGGUUCAAAUCCCGGCGGGGGCACCA